This 512-nucleotide ribosomal RNA is filed under the name uncultured Lactobacillus sp. RNAcentral's name for it is "bacterial SSU rRNA". It matches the Rfam family "Bacterial small subunit ribosomal RNA", at positions 505 to 1018 of the family's 1533-position model. Lineage: Bacteria; Bacillati; Bacillota; Bacilli; Lactobacillales; Lactobacillaceae. The record is from RNAcentral.
GUGCCAGCCGCGGCGGUAAUACGUAGGUGGCAAGCGUUGUCCGGAUUUAUUGGGCGUAAAGCGAGCGCAGGCGGUUUUUUAAGUCUGAUGUGAAAGCCUUCGGCUCAACCGAAGAAGUGCAUCGGAAACUGGGAAACUUGAGUGCAGAAGAGGACAGUGGAACUCCAUGUGUAGCGGUGAAAUGCGUAGAUAUAUGGAAGAACACCAGUGGCGAAGGCGGCUGUCUGGUCUGUAACUGACGCUGAGGCUCGAAAGUAUGGGUAGCAAACAGGAUUAGGAUACCCUGGUAGUCCAUACCGUAAACGAUGAAUGCUAAGUGUUGAGGUUUCGCCUUCAGUGCUGCAGCUAACGCAUUAAGCAUUCCGCCUGGGGAGUACGGCCGCAAGGCUGAAACUCAAAGGAAUUGACGGGGGCCCGCACAAGCGGUGGAGCAUGUGGUUUAAUUCGAAGCUACGCGAAGAACCUUACCAGGUCUUGACAUACUAUGCAAAUCUAAGAGAUUAGACGUUCCC